Molecule: ribosomal RNA, 254 nt
Filed under: uncultured bacterium
Lineage: Bacteria
Description: partial 16S ribosomal RNA
Rfam family: Bacterial small subunit ribosomal RNA
Source: RNAcentral
UACGUAGGGUGCAAGCGUUUGUCCGGAAUUAUUGGGCGUAAAGAGCUCGUAGGCGGUCUGUUACGUCGGCUGUGAAAACCCGGGGCUCAACUCCGGGCCUGCAGUCGAUACGGGCUGGCUUGAGUGCGGUAGGGGAGACUGGAAUUCCUGGUGUAGCGGUGAAAUGCGCAGAUAUCAGGAGGAACACCGGUGGCGAAGGCGGGUCUCUGGGCCGUAACUGACGCUGAGGAGCGAAAGCGUGGGGAGCGAACAGG